This 2906-nucleotide ribosomal RNA is filed under the name Escherichia coli. RNAcentral describes it as "23S ribosomal RNA". It matches the Rfam family "Bacterial large subunit ribosomal RNA". The record is from RNAcentral. Lineage: Bacteria; Pseudomonadati; Pseudomonadota; Gammaproteobacteria; Enterobacterales; Enterobacteriaceae.
GGUUAAGCGACUAAGCGUACACGGUGGAUGCCCUGGCAGUCAGAGGCGAUGAAGGACGUGCUAAUCUGCGAUAAGCGUCGGUAAGGUGAUAUGAACCGUUAUAACCGGCGAUUUCCGAAUGGGGAAACCCAGUGUGAUUCGUCACACUAUCAUUAACUGAAUCCAUAGGUUAAUGAGGCGAACCGGGGGAACUGAAACAUCUAAGUACCCCGAGGAAAAGAAAUCAACCGAGAUUCCCCCAGUAGCGGCGAGCGAACGGGGAGCAGCCCAGAGCCUGAAUCAGUGUGUGUGUUAGUGGAAGCGUCUGGAAAGGCGCGCGAUACAGGGUGACAGCCCCGUACACAAAAAUGCACAUACUGUGAGCUCGAUGAGUAGGGCGGGACACGUGGUAUCCUGUCUGAAUAUGGGGGGACCAUCCUCCAAGGCUAAAUACUCCUGACUGACCGAUAGUGAACCAGUACCGUGAGGGAAAGGCGAAAAGAACCCCGGCGAGGGGAGUGAAAAAGAACCUGAAACCGUGUACGUACAAGCAGUGGGAGCACAGAGCAAUCUGUGUGACUGCGUACCUUUUGUAUAAUGGGUCAGCGACUUAUAUUCUGUAGCAAGGUUAACCGAAUAGGGGAGCCGAAGGGAAACCGAGUCUUAACUGGGCGUUAAGUUGCAGGGUAUAGACCCGAAACCCGGUGAUCUAGCCAUGGGCAGGUUGAAGGUUGGGUAACACUAACUGGAGGACCGAACCGACUAAUGUUGAAAAAUUAGCGGAUGACUUGUGGCUGGGGGUGAAAGGCCAAUCAAACCGGGAGAUAGCUGGUUCUCCCCGAAAGCUAUUUAGGUAGCGCCUCGUGAAUUCAUCUCCGGGGGUAGAGCACUGUUUCGGCAAGGGGGUCAUCCCGACUUACCAACCCGAUGCAAACUGCGAAUACCGGAGAAUGUUAUCACGGGAGACACACGGCGGGUGCUAACGUCCGUCGUGAAGAGGGAAACAACCCAGACCGCCAGCUAAGGUCCCAAAGUCAUGGUUAAGUGGGAAACGAUGUGGGAAGGCCCAGACAGCCAGGAUGUUGGCUUAGAAGCAGCCAUCAUUUAAAGAAAGCGUAAUAGCUCACUGGUCGAGUCGGCCUGCGCGGAAGAUGUAACGGGGCUAAACCAUGCACCGAAGCUGCGGCAGCGACGCUUAUGCGUUGUUGGGUAGGGGAGCGUUCUGUAAGCCUGUGAAGGUGUGCUGUGAGGCAUGCUGGAGGUAUCAGAAGUGCGAAUGCUGACAUAAGUAACGAUAAAGCGGGUGAAAAGCCCGCUCGCCGGAAGACCAAGGGUUCCUGUCCAACGUUAAUCGGGGCAGGGUGAGUCGACCCCUAAGGCGAGGCCGAAAGGCGUAGUCGAUGGGAAACAGGUUAAUAUUCCUGUACUUGGUGUUACUGCGAAGGGGGGACGGAGAAGGCUAUGUUGGCCGGGCGACGGUUGUCCCGGUUUAAGCGUGUAGGCUGGUUUUCCAGGCAAAUCCGGAAAAUCAAGGCUGAGGCGUGAUGACGAGGCACUACGGUGCUGAAGCAACAAAUGCCCUGCUUCCAGGAAAAGCCUCUAAGCAUCAGGUAACAUCAAAUCGUACCCCAAACCGACACAGGUGGUCAGGUAGAGAAUACCAAGGCGCUUGAGAGAACUCGGGUGAAGGAACUAGGCAAAAUGGUGCCGUAACUUCGGGAGAAGGCACGCUGAUAUGUAGGUGAAGUCCCUUGCGGAUGGAGCUGAAAUCAGUCGAAGAUACCAGCUGGCUGCAACUGUUUAUUAAAAACACAGCACUGUGCAAACACGAAAGUGGACGUAUACGGUGUGACGCCUGCCCGGUGCCGGAAGGUUAAUUGAUGGGGUCAGCGCAAGCGAAGCUCUUGAUCGAAGCCCCGGUAAACGGCGGCCGUAACUAUAACGGUCCUAAGGUAGCGAAAUUCCUUGUCGGGUAAGUUCCGACCUGCACGAAUGGCGUAAUGAUGGCCAGGCUGUCUCCACCCGAGACUCAGUGAAAUUGAACUCGCUGUGAAGAUGCAGUGUACCCGCGGCAAGACGGAAAGACCCCGUGAACCUUUACUAUAGCUUGACACUGAACAUUGAGCCUUGAUGUGUAGGAUAGGUGGGAGGCUUAGAAGUGUGGACGCCAGUCUGCAUGGAGCCGACCUUGAAAUACCACCCUUUAAUGUUUGAUGUUCUAACGUUGACCCGUAAUCCGGGUUGCGGACAGUGUCUGGUGGGUAGUUUGACUGGGGCGGUCUCCUCCUAAAGAGUAACGGAGGAGCACGAAGGUUGGCUAAUCCUGGUCGGACAUCAGGAGGUUAGUGCAAUGGCAUAAGCCAGCUUGACUGCGAGCGUGACGGCGCGAGCAGGUGCGAAAGCAGGUCAUAGUGAUCCGGUGGUUCUGAAUGGAAGGGCCAUCGCUCAACGGAUAAAAGGUACUCCGGGGAUAACAGGCUGAUACCGCCCAAGAGUUCAUAUCGACGGCGGUGUUUGGCACCUCGAUGUCGGCUCAUCACAUCCUGGGGCUGAAGUAGGUCCCAAGGGUAUGGCUGUUCGCCAUUUAAAGUGGUACGCGAGCUGGGUUUAGAACGUCGUGAGACAGUUCGGUCCCUAUCUGCCGUGGGCGCUGGAGAACUGAGGGGGGCUGCUCCUAGUACGAGAGGACCGGAGUGGACGCAUCACUGGUGUUCGGGUUGUCAUGCCAAUGGCACUGCCCGGUAGCUAAAUGCGGAAGAGAUAAGUGCUGAAAGCAUCUAAGCACGAAACUUGCCCCGAGAUGAGUUCUCCCUGACUCCUUGAGAGUCCUGAAGGAACGUUGAAGACGACGACGUUGAUAGGCCGGGUGUGUAAGCGCAGCGAUGCGUUGAGCUAACCGGUACUAAUGAACCGUGAGGCUUAACCUU